GUAAACAUUCAUAAAAUACAAAUAUCGCGGCAUAGGGUCGUUUUUAUUUAUAUUUUAAUCGAAAGUGUCCAAAUAAUUUCCAAACGUUUGCUACGUUAGUGCUUUCCUGCAUUGACUACAUUAAUAUUUGGUUUGCGUGCCAGCGACGGAGACACUACAGUCACCACGUUUAGUGCUGUAAAAGCAGUUAUACAGUAUUUCAUGCCAUUUCCUAGUACUGUGGUACUGCAAAAGACAUAAAUCGGUUAAAGGUUUUAUUUCUUGGCUCAUUUAGUUGCAGGAGGCGCUGGCGUUUAAGUGCCUGCAGGCCUCUUUGAUUCACUCCUCCGGUUUGAGGUUUCCUGACACGAUUCUGACAGGGCUCUGCUUGCCUUGGAUGGCAGAAAGGACAUGAGUUGUUAAGGAUCUUGAGGUUUCAGAGUGUUUGCCAAAGUCAAUUCUGGCCUGAGCAGCAGCUGUAUGAAGUUUCGUAAACUGGCACGUUAUACCAGUCCACCUUAGCAUGGCAGUCAGCAUCACACACAAGUUUAUGUAUAGCACCUUGAAAACUGGACCUCUUCUUCUGUAACAGUACCCAGAUCAAUACUGGUCCAGUAUGCAUGAUGUGGAACCAUAUGCACCAUUGUAAGAGCUCAUCAUUCUGAAAAGCGAGGUGUGCCCUGAUUGGCCAGCUAUCCAGCGUGCGAGGGAAAUGUUACACACCUUACUAUACUGUGAUGUCGUGUUCCGGAGCGCCGAGACAAAGACAUUAAGACCCAUUAUAAACAAGGUUUUAGACAAAAACCUUUCGUCCUAGUUGUGUCUUUUAGUCUUUUAAAGUGUAGCCACUGCAGCUACGUUUGCACUGAUGUUUGCUUACUUUUUUCAUUUCAUGCCAUGAGCACCAUGUUAUGACACACAUGAUGUAGAUUAUGAUUGAUUUGUAUUCAAAACAAUACUUUAUAAUUGUGUAUGUCGAGUUAAAACUUUUAAAACAUGUCUUGGGACUGUUGCAUUUGUCUUUGAGCACAAGAAUGCAUAUAUUCCAAAUGCAUCUAAGAAAUGUCCUAUUGGUGUCAAAUGAACCUGUCACCUGCCUAAUGAUAUAAAACAUAUAAAAACA
This is a long non-coding RNA of Carassius carassius (crucian carp), 1102 nucleotides long. RefSeq lists it as uncharacterized. Lineage: Eukaryota; Metazoa; Chordata; Actinopteri; Cypriniformes; Cyprinidae. The transcript has 4 exons. The record is from RefSeq and is a predicted model, not a curated record.